GACGAACGCUGGCGGCGUGCCUAAUACAUGCAAGUUGAGCGCUUAAGGUUGGUACUUGUACCAACUGGAUGAGCAGCGAACGGGUGAGUAACGCGUGGGUAAUCUGCCUUUGAGCGGGGGACAACAUUUGGAAACGAAUGCUAAUACCGCAUAAAAACUUUAAACACAAGUUUUAAGUUUGAAAGAUGCAAUUGCAUCACUCAAAGAUGAUCCCGCGUUGUAUUAGCUAGUUGGGGAGGUAAAGGCUCACCAAGGCGAAGAUACAUAGCCGACCUGAGAGGGAGAACGGCCACAAUGGGACUGAGAAACGGCCCAAACCCCCACGGGAGGGAGCAGGAGGGAAUCUUCGGCAAUGGACGAAAGUCUGACCGAGCAACGCCGGGGGAGGGAAGAAGGGUUUCGGAUCGGAAAACUCUGUUGGUAGAGAAGAACGUUGGUGAGAGUGGAAAGCUCAUCAAGUGACGGUAACUACACAGAAAGGGACGGCUAACUACGUG
Molecule: ribosomal RNA, 497 nt
Filed under: uncultured bacterium
Lineage: Bacteria
Description: partial 16S ribosomal RNA
Rfam family: Bacterial small subunit ribosomal RNA
Source: RNAcentral